RNAcentral lists this ribosomal RNA (194 nucleotides) under Mycobacterium tuberculosis. Its description in RNAcentral is "partial 16S ribosomal RNA". It matches the Rfam family "Bacterial small subunit ribosomal RNA", at positions 1 to 190 of the family's 1533-position model. Lineage: Bacteria; Bacillati; Actinomycetota; Actinomycetes; Mycobacteriales; Mycobacteriaceae. The record is from RNAcentral.
AAAUUGAAGAGUUUGAUCAUGGCUCAGAUUGAACGCUGGCGGCAGGCCUAACACAUGCAAGCCGAGCGGUAGCACAGAGAGCUUGCUCUCGGGUGACGAGCGGCGGACGGGUGAGUAAUGUCUGGGAAACUGCCUGAUGGAGGGGGAUAACUACUGGAAACGGUAGCUAAUACCGCAUAACGUCGCAAGAGCAA